AGUGAACGCUGGCGGUAGGCCUAACACAUGCAAGUCGAACGGUAGCACAGUAAGAGCUUGCUCUUACGGGUGGCGAGUGGCGGACGGGUGAGGAAUACAUCGGAAUCUACUUUUUCGUGGGGGAUAACGUAGGGAAACUUACGCUAAUACCGCAUACGACCUACGGGUGAAAGCAGGGGAUCUUCGGACCUUGCGCGAUUGAAUGGGCCGAUGUCGGAUUAGCUAGUUGGCGGGGUAAAGGCCCACCAAGGCGACGAUCCGUAGCUGGUCUGAGAGGAUGAUCAGCCACACUGGAACUGAGACACGGUCCAGACUCCUACGGGAGGCAGCAGUGGGGAAUAUUGGACAAUGGGCGCAAGCCUGAUCCAGCCAUACCGCGUGGGUGAAGAAGGCCUUCGGGUUGUAAAGCCCUUUUGUUGGGAAAGAAAAGCAGCAGGUUAAUACCCCGCUGUUCUGACGGUACCCAAAGAAUAAGCACCGGCUAACUUCGUG
This 492-nucleotide ribosomal RNA is filed under the name uncultured bacterium. RNAcentral describes it as "partial 16S ribosomal RNA". It matches the Rfam family "Bacterial small subunit ribosomal RNA", at positions 29 to 507 of the family's 1533-position model. The record is from RNAcentral.